GUUAAUAUGUCCGAGUGGUUAAGGAGACAGACUCAAAAUCUGUUGGGCUAUGCCUGCAUAGGUUUAAAUCCUACUGUUGACA
Molecule: non-coding RNA, 82 nt
Organism: Cucurbita moschata (crookneck pumpkin)
Lineage: Eukaryota; Viridiplantae; Streptophyta; Magnoliopsida; Cucurbitales; Cucurbitaceae
Source: the annotation of a RefSeq genome assembly